This 59-nucleotide transfer RNA is filed under the name Gammaproteobacteria bacterium. RNAcentral's name for it is "tRNA-Arg". It matches the Rfam family "tRNA", at positions 9 to 63 of the family's 71-position model. Rfam says of the family: Transfer RNA (tRNA) molecules are approximately 80 nucleotides in length. The record is from RNAcentral. Lineage: Bacteria; Pseudomonadati; Pseudomonadota; Gammaproteobacteria.
AGCUCAGCUGGAUAGAGUGCUGGCCUCCGAAGCCAGAGGUCGUGGGUUCGAAUCCCGCC